GACGAACGAUGGCGGCGUGCCUAAUACAUGCAAGUCGAGCGGACGGAUGGGAGCUUGCUCCCAGACCGUCAGCGGCGGACGGGUGAGUAACACGUGGGCAACCUGCCUGUAAGACUGGGAUAACUCCGGGAAACCGGGGCUAAUACCGGAUAACUCUUUCCCUCACAUGAGGGAAAGCUGAAAGAUGGCAUCUCGCUAUCACUUACAGAUGGGCCCGCGGCGCAUUAGCUAGUUGGUGAGGUAACGGCUCACCAAGGCGACGAUGCGUAGCCGACCUGAGGGGGUGAUCGGCCACACUGGGACUGAGACACGGCCCAGACUCCUACGGGAGGCAGCAGUAGGGAAUCUUCCGCAAUGGACGAAAGUCUGACGGAGCAACGCCGCGUGAGUGAUGAAGGUUUUCGGAUCGUAAAACUCUGUUGUCAGGGAAGAACAAGUACCGGAGUAACUGCCGGUACCUUGACGGUACCUGACCAGAAAGCCACGGCUAACUACGUG
This 498-nucleotide ribosomal RNA is filed under the name uncultured bacterium. RNAcentral describes it as "partial 16S ribosomal RNA". It matches the Rfam family "Bacterial small subunit ribosomal RNA", at positions 28 to 507 of the family's 1533-position model. The record is from RNAcentral.